Molecule: ribosomal RNA, 393 nt
Filed under: uncultured bacterium
Lineage: Bacteria
Description: bacterial SSU rRNA
Rfam family: Bacterial small subunit ribosomal RNA
Source: RNAcentral
AUUGAACGCUGGCGGAAUGCUUUACACAUGCAAGUCGAACGGCAGCACGGGGCAACCUGGUGGCGAGUGGCGAACGGGUGAGUAAUACAUCGGAACGUGCCCAAUCGUGGGGGAUAACGUAGCGAAAGUUACGCUAAUACCGCAUACGAUCUACGGAUGAAAGCGGGGGAUCGCAAGACCUCGCGCGAAUGGAGCGGCCGAUGUCAGAUUAGGUAGUUGGUGGGGUAAAGGCUCACCAAGCCAACGAUCUGUAGCUGGUCUGAGAGGACGACCAGCCACACUGGAACUGAGACACGGUCCAGACUCCUACGGGAGGCAGCAGUGGGGAAUUUUGGACAAUGGGCGCAAGCCUGAUCCAGCCAUUCCGCGUGCAGGAUGAAGGCCUUCGGUUGU